RNAcentral lists this small nuclear RNA (107 nucleotides) under Camelus ferus (Wild Bactrian camel). The record is from RNAcentral. Lineage: Eukaryota; Metazoa; Chordata; Mammalia; Artiodactyla; Camelidae.
GUGCUCGCUUGGGUAGCACAUAUACUAAAAUUGGAACUAUACAGAGAAGAUUAGCACGGCCCCUGCACAAGGAUGACACGCAAAUUCAUGAAGCAUUCCAUAUUUUU